AGCAGCCGCGGUAAUUCCAGCUCCAAUAGCGUAUAUUAAAGUUGUUGCAGUUAAAAAGCUCGUAGUUGAAUUUCGGGAUCAGUACGCUGGUCGUGCCUUUGGUAUGUACUGGUGUCACUGAUUCCUCCCUUCUGAAGAACCGUUAUGCCAUUUAUUUGGUGUGGCGGGGAAUCAGGACUGUUACUUUGAAAAAAUUAGAGUGUUUAAAGCAGGCUCGCGCUUGAAUACAUUAGCAUGGAAUAAUGAAGUAGGACGUUUGAUCUUAUUUUGUUGGUUUCUAGGAUCGACGUAAUGAUUAAUAGGGAUAGUUGGGGGCAUUAGUAUUCAAUUGUCAGAGGUGAAAUUCUUGGAUUUAUUGAAGACUAACUACUGCGAAAGCAUUUGCCAAGGAUGUUUUCAUUAAUCAAGAACGAAAGUUAGGGGAUCGAAGACGAUCAGAUACCGUCGUAGUCUUAACCAUAAACUAUGCCGACUAGGGAUCGGAUGAUGUUAAUUUUUAAUGACUCAUUCGGCGCCUUAA
This 520-nucleotide ribosomal RNA is filed under the name uncultured Glomus. RNAcentral's name for it is "SSU rRNA". It matches the Rfam family "Eukaryotic small subunit ribosomal RNA", at positions 569 to 1091 of the family's 1831-position model. Lineage: Eukaryota; Fungi; Glomeromycota; Glomeromycetes; Glomerales; Glomeraceae. The record is from RNAcentral.